ACCCAUUUCAGGUUGUUUGGAUCCGCAUAAUUUAUUCAGAAACAAAAUAUGAAAACCAC
This 59-nucleotide transfer RNA is filed under the name Ctenitis christensenii. RNAcentral's name for it is "partial tRNA-Leu". Lineage: Eukaryota; Viridiplantae; Streptophyta; Polypodiopsida; Polypodiales; Dryopteridaceae. The record is from RNAcentral.